This 77-nucleotide transfer RNA is filed under the name Burkholderiaceae bacterium. RNAcentral's name for it is "tRNA-Glu". It matches the Rfam family "tRNA". From Rfam's summary of the family: Transfer RNA (tRNA) molecules are approximately 80 nucleotides in length. Their secondary structure includes four short double-helical elements and three loops (D, anti-codon, and T loops). Further hydrogen bonds mediate the characteristic L-shaped molecular structure. tRNAs have two regions of fundamental functional importance: the anti-codon, which is responsible for specific mRNA codon recognition, and the 3' end, to which the tRNAs corresponding amino acid is attached (by aminoacyl-tRNA synthetases). tRNAs cope with the degeneracy of the genetic code in two manners: having more than one tRNA (with a specific anti-codon) for a particular amino acid; and 'wobble' base-pairing, i.e. permitting non-standard base-pairing at the 3rd anti-codon position. Lineage: Bacteria; Pseudomonadati; Pseudomonadota; Betaproteobacteria; Burkholderiales; Burkholderiaceae. The record is from RNAcentral.
GUCGUGUUCGUCUAGCUGGCUAAGGACGCCGGGCUUUCAUUCCGGAUACGCGGGUUCAAAUCCCGCACGCGACACCA